This 450-nucleotide ribosomal RNA is filed under the name uncultured bacterium. RNAcentral's name for it is "partial 16S ribosomal RNA". It matches the Rfam family "Bacterial small subunit ribosomal RNA", at positions 354 to 796 of the family's 1533-position model. The record is from RNAcentral.
GUGGGGAAUAUUGCACAAUGGGGGAAACCCUGAUGCAGCCAUGCCGCGUGUGUGAAGAAGGCCUUCGGGUUGUAAAGCACUUUCAGCGGGGAGGAAGGGCUACUAGUUAAUACCUAGUGGCAUUGACGUUACUCGCAGAAGAAGCACCGGCUAACUCCGUGCCAGCAGCCGCGGUAAUACGGAGGGUGCAAGCGUUAAUCGGAAUUACUGGGCGUAAAGCGCACGCAGGCGGUUGGAUAAGUUAGAUGUGAAAGCCCCGGGCUCAACCUGGGAAUUGCAUUUAAAACUGUCCAGCUAGAGUCUUGUAGAGGGGGGUAGAAUUCCAGGUGUAGCGGUGAAAUGCGUAGAGAUCUGGAGGAAUACCGGUGGCGAAGGCGGCCCCCUGGACAAAGACUGACGCUCAGGUGCGAAAGCGUGGGGAGCAAACAGGAUUAGAAACCCCUGUAGUCC